This 403-nucleotide ribosomal RNA is filed under the name bacterium. RNAcentral's name for it is "partial 16S ribosomal RNA". It matches the Rfam family "Bacterial small subunit ribosomal RNA", at positions 355 to 776 of the family's 1533-position model. The record is from RNAcentral.
UGGGGAAUAUUGCACAAUGGGGGAAACCCUGAUGCAGCGACGCCGCGUGAACGAAGAAGGUAUUCGUAUCGUAAAGUUCUGUCCUAUGGGAAGAUAAUGACAGUACCAUAGAAGAAAGCUCCGGCUAAAUACGUGCCAGCAGCCGCGGUAAUACGUAUGGAGCGAGCGUUGUCCGGAAUUAUUUGGCGUAAAGGGUACGCAGGCGGUUUAAUAAGUCGAAUGUUAAAGAUCGGGGCUCAACCCCGCAAAGCAUUGGAAACUGAUAAACUUGAGUAGUGGAGAGGAAAGAGGAAGUCCUAGUGUAGUGGAGAAAUACGUAGAUAUUAGGGGGAAUACCAGUAGCGAAGGCGACUUUCUGGACACAAACUGACGCUGAGGUACGAAAGCGUGGGGAGCAAACAGG